CAGCCGCCGCGGUAAUACGUAGGUGGCAAGCGUUGUCCGGAAUUAUUGGGCGUAAAGCGCGCGCAGGCGGAUCAGUCAGUCUGUCUUAAAAGUUCGGGGCUUAACCCCGUGAUGGGAUGGAAACUGCUGAUCUAGAGUAUCGGAGAGGAAAGUGGAAUUCCUAGUGUAGCGGUGAAAUGCGUAGAUAUUAGGAAGAACACCAGUGGCGAAGGCGACUUUCUGGACGAAAACUGACGCUGAGGCGCGAAAGCCAGGGGAGCGAACGGGAUUAGAUACCCCCGUAGUCCCUGUCUCUUAUACC
RNAcentral lists this ribosomal RNA (301 nucleotides) under uncultured bacterium. RNAcentral's name for it is "partial 16S ribosomal RNA". It matches the Rfam family "Bacterial small subunit ribosomal RNA", at positions 509 to 808 of the family's 1533-position model. The record is from RNAcentral.